RNAcentral lists this ribosomal RNA (425 nucleotides) under uncultured bacterium. RNAcentral's name for it is "partial 16S ribosomal RNA". It matches the Rfam family "Bacterial small subunit ribosomal RNA", at positions 354 to 796 of the family's 1533-position model. The record is from RNAcentral.
GUGGGGAAUCUUGCGCAAUGGGCGAAAGCCUGACGCAGCCAUGCCGCGUGGAUGAUGAAGGUCUUAGGAUUGUAAAAUCCUUUCACCGGUGAAGAUAAUGACUGUAGCCGGAGAAGAAGCCCCGGCUAACUUCGUGCCAGCAGCCGCGGUAAUACGAAGGGGGCUAGCGUUGCUCGGAUUUACUGGGCGUAAAGGGCGCGUAGGCGGACAUUUAAGUCAGGGGUGAAAUCCCGGGGCUCAACCUUGGAAUUGCCUUUGAUACUGGCUGUCUUGAGUUUGGGAGAGGUGAGUGGAACUCCGAGUGUAGAGGUGAAAUUCGUAGAUAUUCGGAAGAACACCAGUGGCGAAGGCGACUCACUGGCCCAAUACUGACGCUGAGGCGCGAAAGCGUGGGGAGCAAACAGGAUUAGAAACCCCGGUAGUCC